This is a non-coding RNA of Ixodes scapularis (black-legged tick), 47 nucleotides long. The record is from Rfam. NCBI's taxonomy places the organism in Eukaryota, Metazoa, Arthropoda, Arachnida, Ixodida, Ixodidae.
GCAAAGGCCCUUCUCAGGGCCAAAAAAAUUUGGCUUUAGAGCUGACU